UACGGAAGGGGCAAGCGUUGUUCGGAAUCAUUGGGCGUAAAGGGCGCGUAGGUGGUUCUGUAUGUCUAUCGUGAAAGCAUACAGCUCAACUGUAUUUUGUCGGUAGAAACUGCAGGACUUGAGGCUGGGAGGGGCUGGUGGAAUUCCCUGUGUAGCGGUGAAAUGCGUAGAGAUGGGGGAGAACACUCGUGGCGAAGGCGGCCAGCUAGACCAGUUCUGACACUGAGGCGCGACAGCGUGGGGAGUAAACAGG
RNAcentral lists this ribosomal RNA (253 nucleotides) under uncultured bacterium. RNAcentral's name for it is "partial 16S ribosomal RNA". It matches the Rfam family "Bacterial small subunit ribosomal RNA", at positions 524 to 776 of the family's 1533-position model. The record is from RNAcentral.